UACGUAGGAGGCGAGCGUUGUCCGGAAUUACUGGGCGUAAAGAGCGCGUAGGCGGCGCUGUACGACCCGUGUGAAAGCCCCGGCUCAACUGGGGAGGUCACGGGUAACGGCAGUGCUCUGAGUGCAGGAGAGGGAAGUGGAACUCCGGGAGUAGCGGUGAAAUGCGUAGAGACCGGAGGAACACCGGUGGCGAAGGCGGCUCCUGGUCUGCA
RNAcentral lists this ribosomal RNA (212 nucleotides) under uncultured bacterium. RNAcentral describes it as "partial 16S ribosomal RNA". It matches the Rfam family "Bacterial small subunit ribosomal RNA", at positions 524 to 738 of the family's 1533-position model. The record is from RNAcentral.